Long non-coding RNA from Peromyscus maniculatus bairdii (prairie deer mouse), 1591 nucleotides. RefSeq lists it as uncharacterized. The record is from RefSeq and is a predicted model, not a curated record. Lineage: Eukaryota; Metazoa; Chordata; Mammalia; Rodentia; Cricetidae.
AAGGAGAGCUUGGAGUAAGGAGUGUCCAACUCACCCAGAGAAAAAGAACUGAUAUAGCUCUGCCCAUUGCUUUCCAAACGGAACCAUUCACUUUAUUUUUUCUUUUUUCUUUAGUCCACCAGGGUGCGCUGGGUGCCUCUGGUCUCUGCCGCCGCCGGUUCCUAAAAUUGCCACUGGGUGGCGCUGCCUCCCGCACGUGUAAUGCUGUUUCAGACCAAGCCUCUAACCUUAGUCCUUCCCAAAUCUGGACCCAGAGUCAAUGUGCCAGAUACUAUUCCAGGUACCUGGAACAGGGCAGGAGAUGGAUACAACCAGGACAGACGAGGUCUCAAGUGUCUGUGGACCACUUCUAUCCCAUUGCCUCCAGGGGUUCCCAGGGCUGUGGCUUGGAAUACUGUCCUUUACCUUCCCCAUCAGUGACAUGGCCCCAGUGCAAAGCAUCGCACACGGACCAUCGCACAUGGGUGAUGCUCCUUCAUCAAGUCUCGAGUCCCAUGAUGCUCCUUCAUCAAGUCUCGAGUCCCAUGGGGUUGAUGCGCUGUGACAACCUGAAGAAGCCUCUCCUCUGCAGAACAGAGCCUGUGGUCUCCAAAUUUAACUUCUGCAAGCACCCGAGGUCCCCGAGUUACCUCCUCAUGUCUUCUGUCCACACUUGGAGUAGGAUUUGGUUGCUCACCAGUCUGCUGCUCUAUGGAGCGUGGCUGCUCCUGUGAGACGCUGCCUCUGUGGUACCUCUGGAGCUCUGGAAGGGUGUAGAGUCCAUUCUGUGGAGAAGUGGUGAAUGUCCAUACGCAUGUCUUUAAUCCAGCGCUCAGGUGGUAGGGGCAGGCGGAUCUCUGUGAGUUUGAGACCAGCCUGGUCUACAGAGUGAGUUCCAGGACAGCCUGGGCUACACUGAGAAACACUGUCUUGAAAACAUUAAAAAAAAAAGUUAUGUGAUGUCUCUGCUACUUACUAGCUCCAGUCUUGAAAACAUAAAGAAAAUCAUGUUCAUAAUUAUUAUUAAAUGACAAGAACUAAGAGGUAUGAAGUGAAGGAUGAUGGAGGAAAACUGAGAAUGCCCUGCUGGCUUGGCAAUCUGCCUAUCUAAGACACUUGAGCAAAAUCCGAGCUCUGUCUUCACUAAUGAAUGAUCUUGGGGUGCUGGCUCAUUCUCUCUGGGUCAUGGUUGUUCUAAGAACCAAAUGGGACGUUUCGUGGAAACAAUCUCCAAAUAAAUGCAUGUGAUUGUGGAUGAGACACAAAUCCAAGUCCUUUCCGCAAGUUGGCUGAGGGGAACCAGACUGUGGCUUAUAGAAGGUCACACCCCUCUUCCUGCUGCUCUGAGGUUCAUUUAGAACAUCUCUUCUGGCUUGCAAUAAACAAAUUUGGCAGCAGCCUGUGCUCUGGGCCAGUGCUGGCUUGUUCAGUCUUGACCCCACUCAGGAGAACGUUCAUACAGUUUUCUGUAGAACUCACUCUUAGGAUGCUCUACUGCAUACAUUUUGGUUUUGCUCUAAAAUCUUGAAAUGCCAAUUUCUGAAAGGUUUCCAGGUUAGGACUUCAGGUUGUUUUGAAAAGGUCUUCAGAAAUAAACUUUUGAAUUCUGUGA